This 230-nucleotide ribosomal RNA is filed under the name Pseudoalteromonas tetraodonis. RNAcentral's name for it is "partial 23S ribosomal RNA". It matches the Rfam family "Bacterial large subunit ribosomal RNA", at positions 1 to 228 of the family's 2925-position model. Lineage: Bacteria; Pseudomonadati; Pseudomonadota; Gammaproteobacteria; Alteromonadales; Pseudoalteromonadaceae. RNAcentral also lists the same sequence under 2 other names. The record is from RNAcentral.
GUUGUAUGGUUAAGUGACUAAGCGUACACGGUGGAUGCCUUGGCAGUUGGAGGCGAUGAAGGACGUAUUAACUUGCGAUAAGCCUAGUCAAGCUAGUAAAAAGCACUUGAGACUAGGAUUUCCGAAUGGGGAAACCCACCUGCUUGCAGGUAUCGUUAACUGAAUACAUAGGUUAACGAGGCGAACGCGGAGAACUGAAACAUCUAAGUACCCGUAGGAAAAGAAAUCAA